Molecule: transfer RNA, 87 nt
Filed under: Gammaproteobacteria bacterium
Lineage: Bacteria; Pseudomonadati; Pseudomonadota; Gammaproteobacteria
Also listed under: 3 other names
Description: tRNA-Leu
Rfam family: tRNA
About the family: Transfer RNA (tRNA) molecules are approximately 80 nucleotides in length. Their secondary structure includes four short double-helical elements and three loops (D, anti-codon, and T loops).
Source: RNAcentral
GGCGGGAUGGUGGAAUUGGUAGACACGCUGGAUUCAAAAUCCAGUUCUGGCAACAGAGUGGGGGUUCAAGUCCCCCUCCCGCUACCA